AGUGAACGCUGGCGGUAGGCCUAACACAUGCAAGUCGAACGGCAGCACAGUAAGAGCUUGCUCUUACGGGUGGCGAGUGGCGGACGGGUGAGGAAUACAUCGGAAUCUACUUUUUCGUGGGGGAUAACGUAGGGAAACUUACGCUAAUACCGCAUACGACCUACGGGUGAAAGCAGGGGAUCUUCGGACCUUGCGCGAUUGAAUGAGCCGAUGUCGGAUUAGCUAGUUGGCGGGGUAAAGGCCCACCAAGGCGACGAUCCGUAGCUGGUCUGAGAGGAUGAUCAGCCAAACUGGAACUGAAACACGGUCCAGCCCCUCAGGGGGGGCAGGGGGGGGGAAUAUUGGAAAAGGGGGGAAAGCCUGAUCCAGCCAUACCGGGUGGGGGAAGAAGGCCUUCGGGUGGUAAAGCCCUUUUUUGGGGAAAAAAAAGCAGCAGGUUAAUACCCCGCUGUUUUGACGGUACCCAAAGAAUAAGCAGCGGCUAACUUCGU
RNAcentral lists this ribosomal RNA (491 nucleotides) under uncultured bacterium. RNAcentral's name for it is "partial 16S ribosomal RNA". It matches the Rfam family "Bacterial small subunit ribosomal RNA", at positions 29 to 506 of the family's 1533-position model. The record is from RNAcentral.